This 465-nucleotide ribosomal RNA is filed under the name uncultured bacterium. Its description in RNAcentral is "partial 16S ribosomal RNA". It matches the Rfam family "Bacterial small subunit ribosomal RNA", at positions 28 to 506 of the family's 1533-position model. The record is from RNAcentral.
GACGAACGCUGGCGGCGUGCUUAACACAUGCAAGUCGAACGGAAAGGCCCUGCUUUUGGGGUGCUCGAGUGGCGAACGGGUGAGUAACACGUGAGUAACCUGCCCUUGACUUUGGGAUAACUUCAGGAAACUGGGGCUAAUACCGGAUAGGAGCUCCUGCUGCAUGGUGGGGGUUGGAAAGUUUCGGCGGUUGGGGAUGGACUCGCGGCUUAUCAGCUUGUUGGUGGGGUAGUGGCUUACCAAGGCUUUGACGGGUAGCCGGCCUGAGAGGGUGACCGGCCACAUUGGGACUGAGAUACGGCCCAGACUCCUACGGGAGGCAGCAGUGGGGAAUAUUGCACAAUGGGCGGAAGCCUGAUGCAGCAACGCCGCGUGCGGGAUGACGGCCUUCGGGUUGUAAACCGCUUUCACCUGUGACGAAGCGUGAGUGACGGUAAUGGGUAAAGAAGCACCGGCUAACUACGU